UUGCUUCAGCAGCACAUAUACUGAAACUGGAACAAUACAGAGAAGAUUGGUAGGGCCCCUGCACAAAGAUGGCAUGCAAAUUCAUGAAGCAUUCUAUAUUUUU
This is a small nuclear RNA of Lynx canadensis (Canada lynx), 103 nucleotides long. The record is from Ensembl. Lineage: Eukaryota; Metazoa; Chordata; Mammalia; Carnivora; Felidae.